RNAcentral lists this long non-coding RNA (673 nucleotides) under Vulpes vulpes (red fox). Its description in RNAcentral is "lncRNA (ENSVVUG00000000319.1)". The record is from RNAcentral. Lineage: Eukaryota; Metazoa; Chordata; Mammalia; Carnivora; Canidae.
GGAAAAAUGGUUCAGUGGUCUUAAGAUAACAGCUUUGCCUUCAGAGGAAGCAUUACUGAUCUAGAUUCUUGUAUUUUGUAGGAUCCAGUACUACACCACCUACAGACAAGCGUACUGCAUGGAACAACAGCCCGUCUACAAGUGCUGCCCUGGUUGGAGCCAGUGGGACAAUGAACCUGGCUGCCUAUGCUGCGGUGGGAACAUGUUUCAAUGGAAGGAGGUGCUCAGACCGUGAGGCCAGCAGAGCCAGUGUUCAGAGGGUUUUCAAGGCCCCCACUGUCAAUAUGGUAUAGUGAACUAGAAAUGCCCUAUCAACAUCACUGUCAACAGAGACCAUGGGUUAAGAUGUGAAUGUUGAAGACUGAGAUUAUAAUUAUUCAAAUUUUCUAAAGAUACCAGUUUAAACAGCAGACAUCUAGCUCUUCAUAUGCUUUAUCAUAAAACAUGACUUAUCCAGUACUGCAAAUACAUUUUGUAUUUGAGAACAAGAAGGAAACAGACAUAUUUUGAAGGUAAAACAUUUGAAAUGAAAAGGAAGCACCAAAAGAGAUUUAUUUGAAAAAGUCAAAGAUAAGAGGGGGAAAAAGUCUGCCAAUUUUUUUGUAGUUCUUCAAAGGUAUUUCUCCAGGCUGGUCGCAGUUGCAAGAGGAUUGAUUAACCAUGCUGAGUGGCU